AUAAUAAUAAUAAUAAUAGUGCCUUUGCAGUAUAGAUAUCUCAAGAAGCUUCAGUUCACUAAUAAUGAUCCGUAUGAGUAUAUAAACUCAAAUUCAGUCAGAUACAUUAACAUGCCUAUUACGGAGACAGGUCAAGCCUAUGGCUCACUUGAAAGCAAUUUAGGCCAACUGACACCAAGAACUAAUAAACCCAAUAAUCCUCCAAUAAAUGUAAGAUGUUUAAAUAAAACAUCAUGUAGCAAAUUCUUUAUGCCUACCUCCCCAUUCUCCUUUUGUGAUCAUAAUGUGUGAUAAGCUACAAUAACACAAAUACAAAAAUCUCAAACUAAAAAUAUUGGCUCAACCAUAGCUGUCACCCACAUGAAUGACAUGCAAACUUGGUACACUAAUAGGGAGCAAAAAUCAGAAAUAUUGGGACAUUUAGUGGCCACAGUUGAUGAAUAACAGAAACAGCAUUAGGAGUUAACAGUUAGCCUAUUAUUCCCCUAAGCCCAUGUUCUGUUGACAGAGACCAAAAAUAGGCUAUAGGAUGCAUAGAUUAGUAGGGCCCCAAGGUCUGAGCCAGGAAAGGGAUCAGGUUUAUAUGAUGACCUAGCACAUGGGCAGGCUUGGGUUGGGUUACCUUAUAUUGGGCGACAAUUUUCAUCCCUAACCAAUCUUAUCAGAUUGAAUUUUGUUAAGAUGAAAUAUUAUUCCCCCAAAAUUAUUUUGGACUUAAAUUUGCCUUGCCAAGUCUUCUUGCCCCGACUUGACCAAGUCUUUGUAGACAUAUUGCCAUAUGGUUUAUUUGUAUUCAACAGGAGAGAAACUAGAAGAAUAUAAGGUUAAGAAUAGCAUUAUACACUGCCAUGGAACACAACAUUCCCAUCCAGGCCUAACUCAAGGUCAUCAGAAGCCCUUUGUUAAUUCAAAAGAUCACUAGAAGAGUAUCAAAUUUGAAAAGUAAACCAUCAAGAAUAUGACAAUGCCACUAGAAGAGUCUUAAAUUAUGUCAUUAACCAAUAACCAGGGUUUUUAUAUCAGAAGACCAGGAUUUGCCUUGGCUGGGUGAGCAACUAGACAGUAUAAGGAAAAUCACAGUUAAAGGUUAAUCCCGAGGUAACUUCAUAUUCUUUAAAACCUACAUAACCCCGCCAGUUUUACAGACCUAGCCAUCUCAUUUCAGAAGCUAGUUCACAAAUGCAGUUCUCAGUCCCAUUUCCAACAAAUUCUCCUAUGCAACAGCUGAACAGCACACUCGUCUAAGAAGGUCCAAGCACUAAAUCAGACUUCCUUUAUUUUUUACCCGUGUUACAGGAAGAAGAUCGCUUUUAAAGAUGGUUUUUAAGCCAAAGGUGAAGGGAUAAUGUGAUAGUAGAGAAGAGACUCCAUAUAUGUGAAACUCCAUGGUGAUAAGAGAGAAUCAAAGUUUUAACUUCAAUUUGGUGAUAUGAUGCCUUUGUUCUUGAGGUUUGGUUUUGCCAAAGGAGAAUACAGUGGGACACAGAGAGAAUUAGAAAGGAAUGCAUACAUUAAUAAGAAGUAUCCCCUUCCUUUCCAUCUUACCUUCCUUUUUCCUUUAGUCCAAGCACAACAAAGCCAAAAGCAUCACCUACUCUUCAGUGCCUCACAUAAAGCCCAGUUUGAGCUGGCCUGCCAAAGACUGAAAAGAUAACUUAAUAUGCUUUUUCUUUGCUUGAAUGGACCUUGGAGUAGAUAGAGCUAUAAUUUUGGUACUUCAUGUUCGUAAGUGCUUUCAGUCUGAUUGACUUUACCAUAUGCUGUACCUCUUUGUUGCAUAAAAUGAGGUUGAUCUGAUUUUUUUUUUUUGGGUGGUUUUUAUUUCUUCAUUAUAGUUACAAUUUUAUGGUUUUUAUAUUUCUAUUUCUAAUGUAUGUUAUUCUUCACAAAUAAAUCUUUCAGUUAAAUUUUCCUUAUUUAGCUUAUAUUCCUCUCAUCUAUAUUUUUAGUUAUUUUUUUAAUUUAAAACUCUGAUUUGACCAAUGACAAGUUGGCCAUUGAAAGAUUUGCAUUAAGAAGCACUUUAUGGUGGUUAGUUGCAAAGGAACUUCCUAGCGUGAAAUAUCAUCUGGUAACAUAAAAUUUCUAAAUGAAACAGCUUUAUCUUGACAAGUGAAGGACACGGGCAAAUGAAAGAGAGUGAUUAUAACCUCUCUCUAUCAAUAACUAAAACACUAGUCACAUGUGUGUAACAUGAAAAUCAAAUAUAUUAACUAGAAUUCAUAUCACACAGAUGCUCUAAGAUUCAAAAUAGCAAUGUUCAGUCAGUAAAAAUUUUCCUUAUGUCAAAUGAUUGCCAUACUACAACCAAAGAGACAAAAAAUAUGCAAAUGGACAGAGAAAAGGUGCAAUGAGACAAUAACUUUUAACCUACAACUUUUGAAAGCUACUUGUGGGGAAAAGGCAAUUCUGCUAUCUAAAGAUUCAUCAACACGUUAAUCGACAUUCAUCAAAUGAAAUUGUUUAUUUUACUACAUAAACUUGAAAAAGUCACAAACAAAAAUUCUAGGAGCCCAGUGAUUAUUGUGCAAGUACAGCUUAAAGAAUAUUUUAUGCAGGAUCAACAAUCAAAAACACCAAAAGGCUGCAGAAACUAAUUCUCCACCGUUAAUAUAUUUAGUUGUCACAUAUUAUCACUAAAAGGCAGAGGACCAACGUGAUACUCCAUUUAUCAAUGAAAUCUGCAGUAUUAAUAGACCCUCAAUUCCUCAUACCAGCUUAUAAAAUAAUUAUAAGGAUAAAUCUAAUAAAAUAAAAUGUUAAAAAAAAUCCUGAUCCAACUUCAACUCUCUCCCCCAAAGAAUGCAGUUACUUGUUUUCACAUCAUAGAAGCCAAAGUGUCUUUCUCCACUAUUUUUGCAAUCAUUUUCUAUUCCACCAUUUGGAACAUCUCCCUCUUCACACAGUUCUUUUACUUGUUCCUUACAUAACAGUAGCAAAAGUAUUACUCCCCACUAGUCCUGAGAUAAACUUCAACUCCAUUUGAUCAUUACAGCAUUUUCCCCCCUCUUUUAUGAUGAGUUGAUUUGGAUAGGCAACAGUGAGACAGGCGGGUCAGGUUACACAAAAUCUGAAACAUGAACAACUUCCAAAUGGACAACCAGAUGCCAGAAAAUGCACCCAAUUAGCUACCAAUCCCAAUCAGACAAGCCAAAAGUAACUAUAUGUCAAUAUCCUGAUUUAGUGUAAGAACUAAGAAGAAAAGAGGAUAUAUAUACAAAUUCGGGGUGAUAACUACAUAUAUUGACAAAAAAAAAAAAAGAACA
This 3266-nucleotide unclassified non-coding RNA is filed under the name Hevea brasiliensis (rubber tree). Lineage: Eukaryota; Viridiplantae; Streptophyta; Magnoliopsida; Malpighiales; Euphorbiaceae. The record is from RNAcentral.